ACAAUGGAGAGUUUGAUCCUGGCUCAGGAUGAACGCUAGCGGCAGGCUUAACACAUGCAAGUCGAGGGGCAGCGAGGUGUAGCAAUACACUGUCGGCGACCGGCGCACGGGUGCGUAACGCGUA
Molecule: ribosomal RNA, 124 nt
Filed under: Candidatus Alistipes faecigallinarum
Lineage: Bacteria; Pseudomonadati; Bacteroidota; Bacteroidia; Bacteroidales; Rikenellaceae
Description: partial 16S ribosomal RNA
Rfam family: Bacterial small subunit ribosomal RNA
Source: RNAcentral